AGCUGACUUAUGCACCAAUCAUUCAUAAUAAUACAAACACACAUGCUAUUGGUUCUUCUUUUCUGGAGAACUCUGACUAAUGUAAUAAGAUUAAAUGACCACGAGAGAUAGGUAAAUGAGGAUGGAGUUGGCAUGGAUGGGAUUAGACCCCUACAAAGAAUUCAAAGAACUAGCUUGUUCAUUUUCUGUGAAGUGAAACAAGAAGUAGGUAACCUGAAUAGGAACUCUUUCAAUAACCUGACCACACUGGAACUUGGACUUCCAAGCAUUGAGAAAUGCUGUUUCCAGUCUUUAGAUUAAAAAAAUAAAUCAAGAUGAAGAUUGCAGAAUAUGAGAAGAUAAUUGCUUUGGAAACAUGAAUUGUUAAGAAAAAAAUAUAGUUACGUUUAUAUGAAGAGGUAAAUGCAGAGACUAGAAGGAGAUAGCUACUACUAAGAAACACCAUAUGGAGCAAAUCUAUUUAAAAGAGAGUUUUCCCAAGAAGAGAUCUACAAAGUCCCCCAAAUUCUCAUGUAUGUGGAAGAUGAUUGGAUUGUGUGGGUGCAGUACUCAUCGGUACAUUGAUCUGUUGAAGCAUUCAGAAGCUGAAUUGCUGUGAGGAGGUGAGAUGUGGCUGAAGGUGUGUUACUGGGAAUAUGACCUGGAAGAUUAUGUCUUUCUCUUCAGCUUCUUCUCCCUUCCUUCUCUGCUUCCUGGAUACCAUGGGUUGAGGAUCUUUUCCUCUGCCAUGCCCCUAUGGCAUUCUGUUCCUGCCUUGGAGUCAGCUGACCAAGAACUGAAACCAUGAGCCAAAUAAAAC
This 799-nucleotide long non-coding RNA is filed under the name Heterocephalus glaber (naked mole-rat). RNAcentral's name for it is "lncRNA (ENSHGLG00000033072.1)". Lineage: Eukaryota; Metazoa; Chordata; Mammalia; Rodentia; Bathyergidae. The record is from RNAcentral.